AACGAACGCUGGCGGCAGGCUUAACACAUGCAAGUCGAACGAGAUCUUCGGAUCCAGUGGCAGACGGGUGAGGAACACGUGGGAACAUCCCUUUCAGUUCGGAAUAACGUUGGGAAACUAACGCUAAUACCGGAUACGUCCUUCGGGAGAAAGAUUUAUCGCUGAAAGAUUGGCCCGCGUCUGAUUAGCUAGUUGGUGAGGUAAUGGCUCACCAAGGCUACGAUCAGUAGCUGAUCUGAGAGGAUGAUCAGCCACAUUGGGACUGAGACACGGCCCAAACUCCUACGGGAGGCAGCAGUGGGGAAUAUUGGACAAUGGGCGCAAGCCUGAUCCAGCCAUGCCGCGUGAGUGAUGACGGCCUUCGGGUUGUAAAGCUCUUUUGUCCGGGAAGAUAAUGACUGUACCGGAAGAAUAAGCCCCGGCAAACUUCGUGCCAGCAGCCGCAGAAA
RNAcentral lists this ribosomal RNA (449 nucleotides) under uncultured bacterium. RNAcentral's name for it is "partial 16S ribosomal RNA". It matches the Rfam family "Bacterial small subunit ribosomal RNA", at positions 29 to 523 of the family's 1533-position model. The record is from RNAcentral.